AGCAGCCGCGGUAAUUCCAGCUCCAAUAGCGUAUAUUAAAGUUGUUGCAGUUAAAAAGCUCGUAGUUGAAUUUCGGGAUUUGUCGGUUGGUCGGGCUUCACUGUCCGCACUGACCUGAUGGAUUCCUACCUUCUGAAUAACCAGCAUGCUAUUAAGUUAGUGCGUUGGGGAAGCAGAGCUAUUACCUUGAAAAAUUAGAGUGCUUAAAGCAGGCUUGUGCUUGAAUAGAUUAGCAUGGAAUAAUAAAAUAGGACGGCAUGGUUCUAUUUUGUUGGUUUCUAGGAUCACCGUAAUGAUUAAUAGGGAUAGUUGGGGGCAUUAGUAUUCAAUUGUCAGAGGUGAAAUUCUUGGAUUUAUUGAAGACUAACUUCUGCGAAAGCAUUUGCCAAGGAUGUUUUCAUUAAUCAAGAACGAAAGUUAGGGGAUCGAAGACGAUCAGAUACCGUCGUA
This 450-nucleotide ribosomal RNA is filed under the name uncultured Acaulospora. Its description in RNAcentral is "SSU rRNA". It matches the Rfam family "Eukaryotic small subunit ribosomal RNA", at positions 569 to 1022 of the family's 1831-position model. The record is from RNAcentral. Lineage: Eukaryota; Fungi; Glomeromycota; Glomeromycetes; Diversisporales; Acaulosporaceae.